CAUGUCCUUUUGAUAGUUGAUUUAAGGUCUAGUCUGCCCACUGAAUUUUUGAAGGGCCGCAGUAUUUUGACUGUGCAAAGGUAGCAUAAUCAUUAGUUUUUUAAUUUGGAACUGGAAUGAAUGGCUGGACGAGGGAAUAGCUGUCUUUAUUUUAUUUUAUUAGAAUUUUAUUUUUAAGUUAAAAAGCUUAGAUUUUUAUAAAAGACGAGAAGACCCUAUAGAGUUUUAUUUUAUCAUUUUAGACUAAUUAUUAAGAAUUUAAUUUUGUUUUAUUUUAUUUAAUUUUAUUGGGGUGAUGGAGAGAUUUAAUUAACUCUUUUUUUAUUUUUACAUUAAUAUAUGAUUUUUUGAUCCAUUUUUGAUUAGAAGAAUAAAUUACCUUAGGGAUAACAGCGUAAUCUUUCUAUAGAGUUCUUAUCGACAGAAGGGGUUGCGACCUCGAUGUUGGAUUAAAGUUAAAUUCUGGUGUAGAAGCUUGAUAUUUUAAGUCUGUUCGACUUUUAAAACUUUACAUGAUCUGAGU
This 523-nucleotide ribosomal RNA is filed under the name Dicranopselaphus sp. UPOL RK0671. Its description in RNAcentral is "partial 16S ribosomal RNA". It matches the Rfam family "Bacterial large subunit ribosomal RNA", at positions 1816 to 2610 of the family's 2925-position model. The record is from RNAcentral. Lineage: Eukaryota; Metazoa; Arthropoda; Insecta; Coleoptera; Psephenidae.